AGCCUUUCCUGCGUCCACCAGGCGGGUCAGCUGGUCACAGAAGGAGACCAGGCUGGUCACACAUGGCCUACCCUUCGUAACCCCUGAUGACUGGCUCUGAUACCCUGGCCAUGCUGUGUCACAUUGGCCAGUUUCCAAUCAUCUGGAACCUCACCAGUGAGCCACGACUCCUGGUAAAUGAUGGAGAGCGGCUUGGCAACCUCAUCUGCCAGCUCCCUCAUCACCCUAGGGUGAAUCCCAUCUGGUCCCAUUGAUUUUUAAAUAUCCAAGUGUCCCAGCAGCUCUCUGACUGCCUCCUCUUGGAUAAUAAGAGGACCAUUCUGAUCCCUGGCACCACCUACCAACCCUUGAGGACAGUUGUCAUGAGGAUAAGCUGUCUUACCACUAAAGACUGAGGUGAAGAAAACAUUAAGCACUUCCGCCUUUUCCGCAUCUUUAGUAACUAGUUUGCCUGCUCCAUCCAAUAAGGAACCGAGGUUGGUUAUACCCUUCCUUUUACCAUUAAUAUAUUUGUAAAAACUUUUUUUAUUAUUUUUAACAGAAGUUGCCAAGUUGAGUUCAAACUGAGCUUUGGCCUCCCUAAUUUUUUUUCUACAUGCCCUGGCAGCACCCUUAAAUAAUUCCUCAGAAAUCACUCCCUCCUUAAAAAGAUGAUACAUCUUUUUCUUAUUUCUAAGUUCCUUCAAAACCUCAUUACUCAUCCAGACUGGACGUUUGCCUCGUCUACUCAUCUUUUGGCACACAGGGACAGUCUGUUCUUGUGCCCUCAAGAUCUCUGCUUUGAAGCACACCCAUCUCUCCUGGACUCCUUUGUUUUUAAAGGCUGUUUCCCAAGGAAUUCUCUGGACAAGUCUUUUAAAUAGGCCAAAAUCUGCCCUCCGGAAGUCCAGUGUAGAGAUCUUAUUGAUAUUCCUCCUUAUUUCACCAAUUAUUGAGAAUUCUAUAGUUUCAUGAUCACUAUGCCCCAAGCGGCCUACAACCUCCACAUCACCUACCAGUCCAUCUCUAUUUGUAAACAAUAGGUCUAACAUAGCCCCUCCCCUGGUGGGUUUGCCCACCAGUUGUGACAAAAAGUUAUCCUCCACACAUUCUAAAAACCUUCUAGAUUGCUGGUUUUUUGCUGUAUUGAGUUGCCAGCAGAUGUCUGGUAGGUUGAAGUCACCUACAAGAACAA
Molecule: long non-coding RNA, 1174 nt
Organism: Passer domesticus (house sparrow)
Lineage: Eukaryota; Metazoa; Chordata; Aves; Passeriformes; Passeridae
Exons: 2
Source: RefSeq, a predicted model, not a curated record